UCCGGCCUUCUUCUUCCUUGGCAACAGGCCACCCGGCCUUUCCCUCUCCCUCGGACCUUAGGCCCGUGUUGUCUUAAGCCCAAAACCCUAGCCCCUUUAGUUUUUUAUGUUUUGUUAUUUGGUUUUAAAACCCAUAAGGGCUCGGGCCCUAGUUUAAUUUGGCCCUGGGCCGGUUUGGACUUAAAGGGCUUAAAGCCCUGUUUAUUUUUGUGAGGCCUUAAGGCCUUGUGCUUUGUGUGUGUGUGUUUUGGUGGAGUGUAUAUGUUUGGGCUUAAGCCCAAACCUCAAUUCUCAUCCUAAAACCCUUUUAACCCAAAACCCUUAGAGCCCUAAAAGCCCAAUAAAUCCUAAUCCUAUUUAACUUAAAUCCUAAUCCGGAUUUCAAGCCUAAAACCCAUUAGACCUAAUUUGACCGUUAACCCCCGGUCAACGUUGACUUUAGGGUUGACUUUUCGGGUUUUCGUCCGGGACCCUUCUUAGGGUAAUUCAACGUUCUGAAUCCGUUUUCAAUGUGCGUUUUCCCAAAUUCAAUCGUUUAAGUAGAGUUUGACUAAAUGUGCUAUUUAUGUGCUUAGGGGCAAUUAUUGUGACGUUUCCGUCUUCGCUAGUGGCGCAGCUUUUGGCGGCUAAGUACUGUGAGUGGACCCCUUCUAAAAUUACAUGAUUUGAUAAUUUAAUUGCAUAAAUGAUUAGCAUGCCUACAGAUUUAUGAUUUGAUUUAUGUGAAGCUGGUUGAUUUAAUAUAUUGAUUAUCGUCUCGUGUUUUGGUGAGGAAUUAAUUGUGGCCUAUAUUGAGCUAUAUUUUGAUAUAUCGUAUUUUCUAUAAAAACCAUGAACUGGUAGACUAUCUGAUAGAUGACGAUAGGAUGCUAGAACAUGUUUUGAACCCCUCUUUAUAGUAUAGACGAUGCUCGAUAACCUACGCUAUGAAGUGGUAUUUACGAGAGGCGUAACAUUUUGCGUACCUAGUGGACACUAUGCCACCUGGGGCGAGGAUCUGGUGUUGGUAUUUAGGCCGGGAGAAAUAAUCCCUAGCUACGGGCUGAGGGACAUGAAGAGGCAUUGGGCCGGGUGGUAGUUAUCUCUAGCUACGGGCGCAGAGACUUAGGUGCAGGCAUUGGGCCGGGAGUUAUAAUUAUUCGGUGAUCUUACUAGCAGCACACCGCGUUUACGAGACGAUUUAUGAGACGUUUACUGUUUUGAUUUCCGCGAUGUUUUUCCGCGAGAUAUGGCUUUUGAGAUAUUUUUGGCAUGCUAGGAUUUUUAUUAAAUCCAUCAUUUAUUAUGCUAGUAGUUUUCAUUAUAUAAACUGUGGGGGUUAGUAUUUUGAUAACUGUUUUAUUAUUAUUUUAUAUAUAUAUAUAUAUAUAAAGUUGGUCCACUCACCUUUGUUUUGCGUCCCCAUUCAGGACUUAGAAUCAAGGCACCUAAUCCCGGCGUGAAGGCACUUCCGCAGCAGCAUCUUCAGAUCUUUUCGAUGUAGGACCCACUCUUUUAUUCAUUCAAUUUUAUCUUAAUUCUUUUUAGUGAUUAGGUUUAGUUGUAUGCUCUGAACACGUUCCUAAAU
RNAcentral lists this long non-coding RNA (1567 nucleotides) under Malus domestica (apple). RNAcentral's name for it is "long non-coding RNA (MDOM_LNC016024)". Lineage: Eukaryota; Viridiplantae; Streptophyta; Magnoliopsida; Rosales; Rosaceae. The record is from RNAcentral.